AUACGUAGGGAGCGAGCGUUGUCCGGAUUUACUGGGCGUAAAGGGCGCGUAGGCGGGUGGAUAAGUCAGGUGUGAAAGCUCCGGGCUCAACUUGGAAACUGCACUUGAAACUGUCUAUCUUGAGGUCAGGAGAGGAAAGUGGAAUUCCUAGUGUAGCGGUGAAAUGCGUAGAUAUUAGGAGGAACACCAGUGGCGAAGGCGACUUUCUGGACUGUACCUGACGCUGAGGCGCGAAAGCGUGGGGAGCAAACGGGAUUAGAUACCCCGGUAGUCCACGCUGUAAACGAUGGAUACUAGGUGUAGGAGGCAUCGACCCCUUCUGUGCCGCAGCUAACGCAAUAAGUAUCCCGCCUGGGGAGUACGGCCGCAAGGUUGAAACUCAAAUGAAUUGACGGGG
RNAcentral lists this ribosomal RNA (397 nucleotides) under uncultured bacterium. RNAcentral's name for it is "partial 16S ribosomal RNA". It matches the Rfam family "Bacterial small subunit ribosomal RNA", at positions 523 to 918 of the family's 1533-position model. The record is from RNAcentral.